CCUCCUACGGGGGGCAGCAGCCGCGGUAAUACGGAGGAUGCGAGCGUUAUCCGGAUUUAUUGGGUUUAAAGGGUGCGCAGGCGGCCUGUUAAGUCAGCGGUAAAAGCCCGGGGCUCAACCCCGGCGAGCCGUUGAAACUGGCGGGCUGGAGUUGGAGAGAAGUACGCGGAAUGCGCGGUGUAGCGGUGAAAUGCUUAGAUAUCGCGCAGAACCCCGAUUGCGAAGGCAGCGUACCGGCUCCACACUGACGCUGAGGCACGAAAGCGUGGGUAUCGAACAGGAUUAGAAACCCCUGUAGUCCACGG
Molecule: ribosomal RNA, 305 nt
Filed under: uncultured bacterium
Lineage: Bacteria
Description: bacterial SSU rRNA
Rfam family: Bacterial small subunit ribosomal RNA
Source: RNAcentral